Molecule: ribosomal RNA, 254 nt
Filed under: uncultured bacterium
Lineage: Bacteria
Description: partial 16S ribosomal RNA
Rfam family: Bacterial small subunit ribosomal RNA
Source: RNAcentral
UACGAAGGGGGCUAGCGUUGUUCGGAAUCACUGGGCGUAAAGGGCGCGUAGGCGGCCGUUCAAGUCGGGGGUGAAAGCCUGUGGCUCAACCACAGAAUUGCCUUCGAUACUGGACGGCUCGAGACCGGAAGAGGUCAGUGGAACUGCGAGUGUAGAGGUGAAAUUCGUAGAUAUUCGCAAGAACACCAGUGGCGAAGGCGGCUGACUGGUCCGGUUCUGACGCUGAGGCGCGAAAGCGUGGGGGAGCAAACAGG